RNAcentral lists this ribosomal RNA (194 nucleotides) under uncultured bacterium. Its description in RNAcentral is "partial 16S ribosomal RNA". It matches the Rfam family "Bacterial small subunit ribosomal RNA", at positions 338 to 524 of the family's 1533-position model. The record is from RNAcentral.
CCUACGGGAGGCAGCAGUGGGGAAUUUUGGACAAUGGGCGCAAGCCUGAUCCAGCCAUGCCGCGUGAGUGAAGAAGGCCUUCGGGUUGUAAAGCUCUUUCGGCCGGGAAGAAAUCGCACAGGUUAAUACCCUGUGUGGAUGACGGUACCGGAAUAAGGAGCACCGGCUAACUACGUGCCAGCAGCCGCGGUAAU